GACUUUCCCCCACCUCCCUGCUCUGAUAGUUUCCUCCGAGUCGUGGCAGCAGGAAACGCAGUGGAGCUCCAGUGACCCCUCAGAGGCCCGCUGCUUAGCGACACAGCUCGCCUGUGUCCUUGCCAGCCUCACACAGCCCCCAGUCUGGUCUCAGGACGGUUCUGUUCUGAAUCUAUCUCCCCCACCAGAGGAGUCCAGCCGCGACCAGCCGGACGACAGGAAGGACCUGCCAUGGGGUGCCCAGUUUGAGCUGCCUCCAGUGCUCCUGGAGAGGGACAGGUUAUUGGCACUCCGAUCUGUCCCUGUGGUGAAAGCAGAUUUA
This 322-nucleotide long non-coding RNA is filed under the name Macaca fascicularis (crab-eating macaque). Its description in RNAcentral is "lncRNA (ENSMFAG00000047018.2)". Lineage: Eukaryota; Metazoa; Chordata; Mammalia; Primates; Cercopithecidae. The record is from RNAcentral.